Molecule: non-coding RNA, 77 nt
Organism: Danionella cerebrum
Lineage: Eukaryota; Metazoa; Chordata; Actinopteri; Cypriniformes; Danionidae
Source: the annotation of a GenBank genome assembly
GCUUUCCUGUGGCUCAGUUCGUAGAUUGCAUUGCACUACCAACGCACAGGUUGUGUGUUCAAAUCCCAGGGAAAGCA